This 333-nucleotide long non-coding RNA is filed under the name Carica papaya (papaya). RNAcentral's name for it is "long non-coding RNA (CPAP_LNC003274)". Lineage: Eukaryota; Viridiplantae; Streptophyta; Magnoliopsida; Brassicales; Caricaceae. The record is from RNAcentral.
AUUUUAGCAGUGAUGAGAAAUGGUCUGCCCAACAAUAGAUUAGAGGAGUUUGGAGAUUUAAGAUCAUCCAUAUACAACACUUAGAAGUCAGCUGGAAAAAUGAGGUUAUCCAAUUGAAUGAUGAUUCGAGUUUCUUUUAGCUAUCCGACAUUGAAUUUUGAAUACAUAGACGUAGGCAUCACGUUUAUGGAAGCUCCUAGAUCGCACAUAGAUUUUCUUAUGCCUACAGUACCUAUUUUACGUGAAAUGGCGAACAUACGCUUAUUUUUAUAUUUGGGAGGUAAUUUUCUUUAUAUGAUGGCUAAAACUUUCUCCAUCACAUCACUCUUUUGU